This 253-nucleotide ribosomal RNA is filed under the name uncultured bacterium. RNAcentral's name for it is "partial 16S ribosomal RNA". It matches the Rfam family "Bacterial small subunit ribosomal RNA", at positions 524 to 776 of the family's 1533-position model. The record is from RNAcentral.
UACAGAGGUCCCAAGCGUUGUUCGGAUUCACUGGGCGUAAAGGGUGCGUAGGUGGUCGGGUAAGUCUGAUGUGAAAUCUCUGAGCUCAACUCAGAAAUGGCAUUGGAUACUAUUCGGCUAGAGAGUCGGAGGGGGGACUGGAAUACUUGGUGUAGCAGUGAAAUGCGUAGAUAUCAAGUGGAACACCAGUGGCGAAGGCGGCCAGCUGGGCCGACCCUGACGCUGAGGCGCGAAGGCGUGGGGAGCGAACGGG